AUGGAAGGUAAUUCUGUGGCUUGGAGAUUGACAUGCUUCUAUGGAGAACCUAACUGGGAUCAGAAGCACUUGUCAUGGACAUAUUUGAGGAACCUUCAUGGUAAUUUAACGGGGCCUUGGUUGGUCCUGGGGGAUUUUAAUGAGAUCCUGGUGGCAAGUGAGAAGGAAGGCAGGAAUGUUAGACCACAACAAUACAUGCAGAAUUUCAGAGAUUGUGUAGAUGAUUGUGAGCUACAAGAAGUCACGACUAUUGGAGAUCCUUUUACCUGGAGUCAUGGAGUAAUCAGAGAGUGCCUAGAUAGAGGCCUUUGUAAUGAGCAAUGGGCUGUUAUGUUCCCGUUUGCGGGCUUGAUUCAUGAACACCACGUCCACUCUGAUCAAGACCGAUUCUAUUGGACAUUGAUUAUUUUGCUUCUGCUAUGGGACAGAAACCUUGCGGGGAAAGAAAGUUUGAAGGAAGGUGGUUGA
Molecule: ribosomal RNA, 468 nt
Filed under: Triticum aestivum (bread wheat)
Lineage: Eukaryota; Viridiplantae; Streptophyta; Magnoliopsida; Poales; Poaceae
Description: partial small subunit ribosomal RNA
Source: RNAcentral